This 1018-nucleotide long non-coding RNA is filed under the name Bos indicus x Bos taurus (hybrid cattle). Its description in RNAcentral is "lncRNA (ENSBIXG00000022925.1)". The record is from RNAcentral. Lineage: Eukaryota; Metazoa; Chordata; Mammalia; Artiodactyla; Bovidae.
GUGCUAUGCACAGGAGAUAUGCUCAGGGCCUUGGCAUGGGGGUGGCAAGGUUACAGGGAUUCUGGACAUCCUUGAUUCCUGCGAAACUCUGCUGCAGCCUUCAUCUCCAUCUCCAUCUCCCUGCUGGGGUCGGGCCUCCCGCUAACGUGCCAGUGGACCAGUAGGGGAACCGCAGGCGGAGAGAAAAGGACUGGGGCUUGCCAAGAGGCCAGAUUUGAUAAGAAUUUACUGUGUCUACCAUGCUGGCUCCUUGGAAGAAAAGUUAUGACAAACCUAGACAACGUAUUAAAAAAGAGAGACAUCACUGUGAUGACAAAGAUCUAUAUAGUCAAAGCUAUGGUUUUCCCAGUAGUCACGUAUGGAUGUGAGAGUUCGACCAUGAAGAAGGCUAAGGACCGAAGAAUGAAUACUUUCAAACUAUGAUGCUGGAGAAGACUCUUGGGAGUCCCUUAGACAGUAAGGAGAUCAAACUAGCCAAUCCUAAAGAAAAUCAACCCUGAUUAUUCAUUGGAAGGACUGAUGCUGAAGCUGAAGCGCCAAUACUUUGACCACCUGAUGUGAAGAGCUGACUCAUUUGAAAGGACCCUGAAGCUGGGGAAGAUUGAAGGCAGGAGGAAAGGGGGACGACAGAGAAUGAGUUGGUUGGAUGGCAUAAUUGACUCAAUGAACAUGAGUUUGAGCAAACUCUGGGAGACAGUGAUGGACAGGGAAGCCUGGUAUGCUGCAGUCCCUGGGGUCACAGAGAGUCGGACACGACUUAGAACAACAACCGCGUUCUGGGUGUAUUAGUUAGACAUGGAUGUGUUACCCAUGUCUUUAUUUUCUUGUUUCUGAUGCUUUGACAUCUGGGGCUUCAGCCCCUCCCAGGACCAGCUAAUUCCCAGAGACAGCAAACAAGUUGCCCUAGGGUGCCUUUCACAUGCAAACCAGUCGACUCAGAGCUCACAUCCCAAUUGGCUCCUCUCACACUCGGUGUCACUAUCCCCCUGCCCUAAUCACCCCAGGGUCAGUGCCAGGC